This 652-nucleotide ribosomal RNA is filed under the name uncultured Brevundimonas sp. RNAcentral's name for it is "bacterial SSU rRNA". It matches the Rfam family "Bacterial small subunit ribosomal RNA", at positions 56 to 755 of the family's 1533-position model. Lineage: Bacteria; Pseudomonadati; Pseudomonadota; Alphaproteobacteria; Caulobacterales; Caulobacteraceae. The record is from RNAcentral.
UGCAGUCGAACGAACUCUUCGGAGUUAGUGGCGGACGGGUGAGUAACACGUGGGAACGUGCCUUUAGGUUCGGAAUAACUCAGGGAAACUUGUGCUAAUACCGAAUGUGCCCUUCGGGGGAAAGAUUUAUCGCCUUUAGAGCGGCCCGCGUCUGAUUAGCUAGUUGGUGAGGUAAAGGCUCACCAAGGCGACGAUCAGUAGCUGGUCUGAGAGGAUGAUCAGCCACAUUGGGACUGAGACACGGCCCAAACUCCUACGGGAGGCAGCAGUGGGGAAUCUUGCGCAAUGGGCGAAAGCCUGACGCAGCCAUGCCGCGUGAAUGAUGAAGGUCUUAGGAUUGUAAAAUUCUUUCACCGGGGACGAUAAUGACGGUACCCGGAGAAGAAGCCCCGGCUAACUUCGUGCCAGCAGCCGCGGUAAUACGAAGGGGGCUAGCGUUGCUCGGAAUUACUGGGCGUAAAGGGCGCGUAGGCGGACAGUUAAGUUGGGGGUGAAAGCCCGGGGCUCAACCUCGGAAUUGCCUUCAAUACUGGCUGUCUUGAGUACGGGAGAGGUGAGUGGAACUCCGAGUGUAGAGGUGAAAUUCGUAGAUAUUCGGAGGAACACCAGUGGCGAAGGCGGCUCACUGGCUCGAUACUGACGCUGAGGUGCG